GAUGAACGCUAGCUACAGGCUUAACACAUGCAAGUCGAGGGGCAGCGGUAUCGAAAGCUUGCUUUCGGUAGCCGGCGACCGGCGCACGGGUGAGUAACGCGUAUCGAACCUGCCUCAUACUCGGGAAUAGCCUUGCGAAAGUAAGAUUAAUGCCCGGUGUUUUCAGAGUCCCGCAUGAGGCUUUGAACAAAGAUUUAUCGGUAUGAGAUGGCGAUGCGUCCCAUUAGCUUGUUGGCGGGGUAACGGCCCACCAAGGCAUCGAUGGGUAGGGGUUCUGAGAGGAAGGUCCCCCACAUUGGAACUGAGACACGGUCCAAACUCCUACGGGAGGCAGCAGUGAGGAAUAUUGGUCAAUGGGCGGAAGUCUGAACCAGCCAAGUAGCGUGCAGGAAGACGGCCCUCCGGGUUGUAAACUGCUUUUAGUUGGGAAUAAAACGGGGCUCGUGAGCCCCCUUGCAUGUACCAUCAGAAAAAGGACCGGCUAAUUCCGUG
RNAcentral lists this ribosomal RNA (492 nucleotides) under uncultured bacterium. Its description in RNAcentral is "partial 16S ribosomal RNA". It matches the Rfam family "Bacterial small subunit ribosomal RNA", at positions 28 to 507 of the family's 1533-position model. The record is from RNAcentral.